RNAcentral lists this unclassified non-coding RNA (253 nucleotides) under uncultured Alphaproteobacteria bacterium. RNAcentral's name for it is "contains 16S-23S intergenic spacer region". It matches the Rfam family "Bacterial small subunit ribosomal RNA", at positions 524 to 776 of the family's 1533-position model. The record is from RNAcentral. Lineage: Bacteria; Pseudomonadati; Pseudomonadota; Alphaproteobacteria.
UACGGAGGGGGCAAGCGUUGUUCGGAAUUACUGGGCGUAAAGGGCGUGUAGGCGGCGGUUUUAGUCAGGCGUGAAAGCCCGGGGCUCAACCUCGGAAUAGCGCUUGAUACUGAACUGCUUGAGACCGGAAGAGGGUAGUGGAAUUCCCAGUGUAGAGGUGAAAUUCGUAGAUAUUGGGAAGAACACCAGUGGCGAAGGCGGCUACCUGGUCCGGAUCUGACGCUGAGGCGCGAAAGCGUGGGGAGCAAACAGG